RNAcentral lists this ribosomal RNA (428 nucleotides) under uncultured Haliangium sp. RNAcentral describes it as "bacterial SSU rRNA". It matches the Rfam family "Bacterial small subunit ribosomal RNA", at positions 355 to 774 of the family's 1533-position model. Lineage: Bacteria; Pseudomonadati; Myxococcota; Haliangiales; Kofleriaceae. The record is from RNAcentral.
UGGGGAAUAUUGGGCAAUGGGCGCAAGCCUGACCCAGCCAUGCCGCGUGAGUGAUGAAGGCCUUCGGGUCGUAAAGCUCUGUGGGGAGGGAAGAAACCCCUCGUAGCUAAUAUCUACGAGGCUUGACGGUACCUCCUUAGCAAGCACCGGCUAACUCCGUGCCAGCAGCCGCGGUAAUACGGAGGGUGCAAACGUUGCUCGGAAUCAUUGGGCGUAAAGCGCACGUAGGCGGCCUGACAAGUCGGGUGUGAAAGCCCUGGGCUCAACCCAGGAAGUGCACUCGAAACUGUCAGGCUUGAAUAUGGAAGAGGGUCGCGGAAUUCCCGGUGUAGAGGUGAAAUUCGUAGAUAUCGGGAGGAACACCAGUGGCGAAGGCGGCGACCUGGGCCAAUAUUGACGCUGAGGUGCGAAAGCGUGGGGAGCAAACA